GGUGAAGUGACUGAAUUAAAGGUGAUAGACUGUAAAUCUAUUUAUGGGGUUAAUUCCUCCUUCACUA
Molecule: transfer RNA, 67 nt
Filed under: Chrotogonus sp. TAMUIC IGC OR284
Lineage: Eukaryota; Metazoa; Arthropoda; Insecta; Orthoptera; Pyrgomorphidae
Description: tRNA-Tyr
Rfam family: tRNA
About the family: Transfer RNA (tRNA) molecules are approximately 80 nucleotides in length. Their secondary structure includes four short double-helical elements and three loops (D, anti-codon, and T loops).
Source: RNAcentral